Molecule: ribosomal RNA, 1386 nt
Filed under: Bacillus safensis
Lineage: Bacteria; Bacillati; Bacillota; Bacilli; Caryophanales; Bacillaceae
Description: bacterial SSU rRNA
Rfam family: Bacterial small subunit ribosomal RNA
Source: RNAcentral
CGGAGAGUUUGAUCCUGGCUCAGGACGAACGCUGGCGGCGUGCCUAAUACAUGCAAGUCGAGCGGACAGAAGGGAGCUUGCUCCCGGAUGUUAGCGGCGGACGGGUGAGUAACACGUGGGUAACCUGCCUGUAAGACUGGGAUAACUCCGGGAAACCGGAGCUAAUACCGGAUAGUUCCUUGAACCGCAUGGUUCAAGGAUGAAAGACGGUUUCGGCUGUCACUUACAGAUGGACCCGCGGCGCAUUAGCUAGUUGGUGGGGUAAUGGCUCACCAAGGCGACGAUGCGUAGCCGACCUGAGAGGGUGAUCGGCCACACUGGGACUGAGACACGGCCCAGACUCCUACGGGAGGCAGCAGUAGGGAAUCUUCCGCAAUGGACGAAAGUCUGACGGAGCAACGCCGCGUGAGUGAUGAAGGUUUUCGGAUCGUAAAGCUCUGUUGUUAGGGAAGAACAAGUGCGAGAGUAACUGCUCGCACCUUGACGGUACCUAACCAGAAAGCCACGGCUAACUACGUGCCAGCAGCCGCGGUAAUACGUAGGUGGCAAGCGUUGUCCGGAAUUAUUGGGCGUAAAGGGCUCGCAGGCGGUUUCUUAAGUCUGAUGUGAAAGCCCCCGGCUCAACCGGGGAGGGUCAUUGGAAACUGGGAAACUUGAGUGCAGAAGAGGAGAGUGGAAUUCCACGUGUAGCGGUGAAAUGCGUAGAGAUGUGGAGGAACACCAGUGGCGAAGGCGACUCUCUGGUCUGUAACUGACGCUGAGGAGCGAAAGCGUGGGGAGCGAACAGGAUUAGAUACCCUGGUAGUCCACGCCGUAAACGAUGAGUGCUAAGUGUUAGGGGGUUUCCGCCCCUUAGUGCUGCAGCUAACGCAUUAAGCACUCCGCCUGGGGAGUACGGUCGCAAGACUGAAACUCAAAGGAAUUGACGGGGGCCCGCACAAGCGGUGGAGCAUGUGGUUUAAUUCGAAGCAACGCGAAGAACCUUACCAGGUCUUGACAUCCUCUGACAACCCUAGAGAUAGGGCUUUCCCUUCGGGGACAGAGUGACAGGUGGUGCAUGGUUGUCGUCAGCUCGUGUCGUGAGAUGUUGGGUUAAGUCCCGCAACGAGCGCAACCCUUGAUCUUAGUUGCCAGCAUUCAGUUGGGCACUCUAAGGUGACUGCCGGUGACAAACCGGAGGAAGGUGGGGAUGACGUCAAAUCAUCAUGCCCCUUAUGACCUGGGCUACACACGUGCUACAAUGGACAGAACAAAGGGCUGCAAGACCGCAAGGUUUAGCCAAUCCCAUAAAUCUGUUCUCAGUUCGGAUCGCAGUCUGCAACUCGACUGCGUGAAGCUGGAAUCGCUAGUAAUCGCGGAUCAGCAUGCCGCGGUGAAUACGUUCCC